UUCUUAUUUGUAAAAGAACCCAUGAUCAAGGAAACUAGAUGCAUAGCUGGUAUAUGUGAUUUGUUUGGAUGUGCUUAUCAUGGCAAAGUUUAUGGCCUAUGGUAAUUGCAAUCGACGAAUCUUUCACUGAUGAACAUUGGUUGCAGGAUUAAAUUUGAAUAAAAAGUGAAGAUUUUAUUUGGUGAUAUGGAUAAAAUUAUUCCAUAAGGUUCAUGGUUACACACUUGAAUGCAGGAAAAACUCAUACAAGUAUGUUCAAGGGAGUAAUUUUCCCUCCUUUAAUA
Molecule: unclassified non-coding RNA, 284 nt
Filed under: Hevea brasiliensis (rubber tree)
Lineage: Eukaryota; Viridiplantae; Streptophyta; Magnoliopsida; Malpighiales; Euphorbiaceae
Source: RNAcentral